GAUGCCUCAUGACCGCCGUCAGAUUUUUACGUGUUUUUAUGUAAAGUAUAAAGUGCAAAGUUGGUCAAAAUGAGCUAGUCACAAUUUACUUUCAUUGUCCUUUAGCAUUCCAAGACAGAUUCUUAGGUAAAUGCAAAUUAAUUCGAAUAUCACCUGGCGUGAUAUAGUAUCUUGACGGUCCCGAUUAUGCAACAUUAACCGAUCGGGGCACAUGGACCAUAUCACCAUGAUCUCUCCCAAGAGUUCUCCCAGACAUUAUUGCUGUCUCCCUUGU
Long non-coding RNA from Arabidopsis thaliana (thale cress), 274 nucleotides. RefSeq annotates it as other RNA. The record is from RefSeq. Lineage: Eukaryota; Viridiplantae; Streptophyta; Magnoliopsida; Brassicales; Brassicaceae. The transcript has a single exon.